ACUAAAAGACUAAAACUAAAUGCCCUAAAUCCUAAUUGAGUAAUCCGCCGCCAACCCCUCGUCCAACUCUCCUCUCCCUCUAAUCCUAAAUCCCUCCACCAACUCCAUCGUCCUCCGUCGCCGGUCGCCGUCGCCCCUCGCCCUGUCGCCCCUCCCCAGCUCCUGUCGGCCCUCGCCACCUGCAGUUCGUCCAAGGGUACGAGCUAGACGAGGCAAAGCAACAGAUCCACACAGUAUCGCUGAGAGGAUUUCAGAUUUUAUAAGUAAAAGGCAGACAGUUUUUCUCCACUCUACAACAUAGAUUAUUCAGCAUCAAGUUGUAAUAUGUUGUGUGAUGAAAAUGAAGCGGUUGGAGAUACCAUCGAAAAUAAUGCAACUGAAGAUACUCCAUCUGAGGAUCCUCAUGACAAAGGAGAGGCAAAAAUAUCAUGUACUCUCCCAAUUUGCCCGUGAUAUUCUAGCAGUUCCCAUCUCCACUGUAGCAUCUGAGUCCGCUUUUAGCACUGGUGGCCGAGUUCUUGAUCCAUUUAGGAGCUCUUUAAGUCCUAAAGUUGUCGAGUAUCUUGUUUGUGGUCAAAAUUGGCUUCGCAAAUCUUCCAAAUUUAGUGUUGAAGAAAUUCUUGAAGAUGUCCAAAAGAUAGAAGAAGGUGGUUUUAUACAUUUAAAUUUUUUGUUAUUGAUUAUUUCAUUUAAAGUACUUAUAUAACUCUUUUUUGUGUGGUAUUGCAUUGAUGUUUACUCAAGAUUCAACAAAUUAAUCAAUCUCCAUUAUUUGUUGAAACUUGCUUGCACUUGGACAAUAUUGAAGACUUGUCAUGGAACUUCAUUUUGGAUUUAUUUUGAUGUAAUGUGUUGAAACUAUUGAAGACAUUUUGGUUGAUGUUUUUUAUUGUGGAAUGUUGAUUGUAUAUUUGUAUUUGUUGGUUGAUGCAUUUGAUGGAUUAGGGAUAUUAUCAUUUUUAUCA
Salvia splendens (bonfire salvia) is the source of this 965-nucleotide long non-coding RNA. RefSeq lists it as uncharacterized. NCBI's taxonomy places the organism in Eukaryota, Viridiplantae, Streptophyta, Magnoliopsida, Lamiales, Lamiaceae. The transcript is spliced from 3 exons. The record is from RefSeq and is a predicted model, not a curated record.